AAAAGGAAAACCCCCACAAUCUUUCGACGAACUUGGCGGGACGGAGAAAGAUUAUGGGGGCCUCACAGAAU
This 71-nucleotide non-coding RNA is filed under the name Salmonella enterica subsp. enterica serovar Typhimurium. Its description in RNAcentral is "Inc". It matches the Rfam family "Pseudoknot of the regulatory region of the repZ gene", at positions 1 to 70 of the family's 150-position model. The record is from RNAcentral. Lineage: Bacteria; Pseudomonadati; Pseudomonadota; Gammaproteobacteria; Enterobacterales; Enterobacteriaceae.